UACAGAGGGUGCAAGCGUUAAUCGGAGUUACUGGGCGUAAAGGGCGCGUAGGUGGUUGUGUAAGUGAGAUGUGAAGUCCCUGGGCUUAACCUGGGAACUGCAUCUUAUACUGCAUAACUGGAGUACUGUAGAGGGUAGUGGAAUUUCCGGUGUAGCGGUGAAAUGCGUAGAGAUCGGAAGGAACACCAGUGGCGAAGGCGGCUACCUGGACAGAUACUGACACUGAGGCGCGAGAGCGUGGGGAGCAAACAGG
RNAcentral lists this ribosomal RNA (253 nucleotides) under uncultured bacterium. RNAcentral's name for it is "partial 16S ribosomal RNA". It matches the Rfam family "Bacterial small subunit ribosomal RNA", at positions 524 to 776 of the family's 1533-position model. The record is from RNAcentral.